RNAcentral lists this ribosomal RNA (571 nucleotides) under uncultured Bacteroidota bacterium. RNAcentral's name for it is "bacterial SSU rRNA". It matches the Rfam family "Bacterial small subunit ribosomal RNA", at positions 224 to 792 of the family's 1533-position model. Lineage: Bacteria; Pseudomonadati; Bacteroidota. The record is from RNAcentral.
GAUGAGCAUGCGUCCCAUUAGCUUGUUGGUAAGGUAACGGCUUACCAAGGCAACGAUGGGUAGGGGUCCUGAGAGGGAGAUCCCCCACACUGGUACUGAGACACGGACCAGACUCCUACGGGAGGCAGCAGUGAGGAAUAUUGGUCAAUGGGCGCAAGCCUGAACCAGCCAUGCCGCGUGCAGGAUGAAGCAUCUAUGGUGUGUAAACUGCUUUUGUACGAGAAGAAACACUCCUUCGUGAAGGAGCUUGACGGUAUCGUAAGAAUAAGGACCGGCUAACUCCGUGCCAGCAGCCGCGGUAAUACGGAGGGUCCAAGCGUUAUCCGGAAUCAUUGGGUUUAAAGGGUCCGUAGGCGGUUUUGUAAGUCAGUGGUGAAAGCCCAUCGCUCAACGGUGGAACGGCCAUUGAUACUGCAAGACUUGAAUUAUUGGGAAGUAACUAGAAUAUGUAGUGUAGCGGUGAAAUGCUUAGAGAUUACAUGGAAUACCAAUUGCGAAGGCAGGUUACUACCAAUAUAUUGACGCUGAUGGACGAAAGCGUGGGGAGCGAACAGGAUUAGAUACCCUGGUA